AUCUUGUGGACCGGGCGCGUCAUCCAGCAGUGAUGACUGUCGCAACUACUGACCAGCAGCGUCGGCACAAGAU
Yarrowia lipolytica is the source of this 73-nucleotide non-coding RNA. The record is from Rfam. NCBI's taxonomy places the organism in Eukaryota, Fungi, Ascomycota, Dipodascomycetes, Dipodascales.